UUAUACAAUGAAGAGUUUGAUCCUGGCUCAGGAUGAACGCUAGCGGCAGGCCUAACACAUGCAAGUCGAACGGUAACAUAGAUUGCUUGCAAUCUGAUGACGAGUGGCGCACGGGUGCGUAACGCGUAUGCAAUCUACCUUUUACAGGAGAAUAGCCCAGAGAAAUUUGGAAUAAUGCUCCAUAAUAUCAUUUAUCAGCAUUGGUUUAUGAUUAAAGUUCCGGCGGUAAAAGAUGAGCAUGCGUUCUAUUAGCUAGUAGGUGGGGUAACGGCUCACCUAGGCUACGAUAGAUAGGGGCCCUGAGAGGGGGAUCCCCCACACUGGUACUGAGACACGGACCAGACUCCUACGGGA
This 354-nucleotide ribosomal RNA is filed under the name Flavobacteriaceae bacterium. RNAcentral's name for it is "bacterial SSU rRNA". It matches the Rfam family "Bacterial small subunit ribosomal RNA", at positions 1 to 346 of the family's 1533-position model. Lineage: Bacteria; Pseudomonadati; Bacteroidota; Flavobacteriia; Flavobacteriales; Flavobacteriaceae. The record is from RNAcentral.